Non-coding RNA from Macaca mulatta (Rhesus monkey), 554 nucleotides. The record is from RefSeq and is a predicted model, not a curated record. Lineage: Eukaryota; Metazoa; Chordata; Mammalia; Primates; Cercopithecidae.
GUGAGUGACACAGAAGACGGGUGAUUUCUGCAUUUUCAACUGAGGGAUGGAUGGCAAACUCCAUGCAGGAGGAGAUGAAGACAAAGACCUGGAUCUUCCCAUGGAAUCUUGGGGCUUUCUCCUUCUUCCUCCUGAAAGAUUUCCAUUUCAUGAUCUUGCUGUUCGGGUGAGGGAGAAAGGACAAGAUGGAAGAAGGUAAAGAAGGUAAACAAGAUGGCACAGUUCCGGGUUCUUCAUCAGCGACUUUCCCGUGCCCGGGAAAAACAUCAACUGUCUGCGCCUGCGCAUUGUGACGUCAAAACAAAGAAAUCGAAACUUACCCAGCCACGCCUAUGAAGACGCCCUUACCCCCGCCCCCGUCCUGCCCACCUCAAGCCCCAUCCAUAAAAGGCUGCUCCCGGAAGACAUCCGCGGGAACGUCCUCGGCCCCUCCUCAUAUGUGGACCCAGGAACCUCGCCCGAGAACGCUGGCCUCGGCCUCCACCCCCGGAGACCGGUGAACCUCGCCCCUUCCUCCUUCACACUGGCUAGCUAAUAAAGCUUUUUUACCUUGC